RNAcentral lists this ribosomal RNA (253 nucleotides) under uncultured bacterium. RNAcentral's name for it is "partial 16S ribosomal RNA". It matches the Rfam family "Bacterial small subunit ribosomal RNA", at positions 524 to 776 of the family's 1533-position model. The record is from RNAcentral.
UACGAAGGGGGCUAGCGUUGUUCGGAAUUACUGGGCGUAAAGCGUGCGCAGGCGGCUUCUCAAGUCAGGGGUGAAAGCCCAGAGCUUAACUCUGGAAUUGCCUUUGAGACUGAGAGGCUUGAGUACGGGAGAGGUGAGUGGAAUUCCCAGUGUAGAGGUGAAAUUCGUAGAUAUUCGGCGGAACACCAGUGGCGAAGGCGACUCACUGGCCCGAUACUGACGCUGAGGCGCGAAAGCGUGGGGAGCAAACAGG